AUGAAGGGGUUCAGCAUGGGGUGAUCACCGUGUACAUCACUGAGGCCACUGCAGCCUUUCUCGGGGAAGAUGACACAUCUGAACUGAAGUACCCUCCAACGCCCGUUCCGUAAAAUCAGCAAACAACUGACAGGUGAGACCCACAGGUGGAGAAGGCCUUAUACUGCCCACGUGAUGAUGAAACACUCAGAAUGGAGGAAACAAUUUUAUAGUAAGAGAAAAGGGUCCCAGAGAUGGGAAGAAAACCAAAUAUGACAGCAGGGAAAUACAUGAUUAUGUUAUUGGUGAAGGUGUCACAACAUGCAAGAUGGGGGAGUUGAGAAGGGUCACAGAAGAAAUUAGGAAUUUCCGCAUCCUGGAAGCAGGUCAUUUGUAAGGCAAUCAAGUUGUGCAACUGGGCGUCUAAAACACUGAGAAAAAAAAA
This 424-nucleotide long non-coding RNA is filed under the name Homo sapiens (human). Its description in RNAcentral is "non-protein coding lnc-TDRD3-21:1". The record is from RNAcentral. Lineage: Eukaryota; Metazoa; Chordata; Mammalia; Primates; Hominidae.